RNAcentral lists this ribosomal RNA (112 nucleotides) under Acanthosepion pharaonis. Lineage: Eukaryota; Metazoa; Mollusca; Cephalopoda; Sepiida; Sepiidae. The record is from RNAcentral.
UAUGGCCAUAUCAUAUUGAAACACUGGUUCCUGUAUGAUCAUUAAAGUUAAGCUAUGUUGAGCCAGGUCAGUACCUAGAUGGGUGACUGCUUGGGAAUACCAGAUGCUGUGA